RNAcentral lists this unclassified non-coding RNA (4881 nucleotides) under Hevea brasiliensis (rubber tree). Lineage: Eukaryota; Viridiplantae; Streptophyta; Magnoliopsida; Malpighiales; Euphorbiaceae. The record is from RNAcentral.
UUUCCCUCUCAUUUCCGUGUCGAUCUCUCACCAAAGCUUCUACAAAAAUCUCUUCAAUUCCACUGUCGUAGCUCACUUACUCACAAUGAAGCCCAACCAACAGCCAUUAUCGUCACCGUAUCCACAGCCAUCUUCUUCUUCGCUUCUCAAAGACAUUUCGAAUUUCAGAACUCCAAAACGCCCCUCCCAUGCCCCCGACUUUACCUCCUCCCCUUGCCCCCAAUUCUUCACCGCCACCAAACAAACCCCUAAGCCAUCUCCUACUUCAUCCUUUCGCAGGUACCGCCACCGCCCUUCCCUUUCUUCCCGCCUCAAGCAUAAAACCGCUACUGCCCGUCGUCUCAAAGCAUUUGAGCUCGAGCAAUCCCAGUCCUCACGCAAGGCUCAGAUACAAAAAGAACAGUCUCUUAAAUCGCUUGCCAAGUCUCUCACUACUUGGCUUAAUUUCCUCUUCCAAAACCCUAGGUCCUGUGGAUGUGGAUUGACAGAUCAUGAAGUGGAUACCGCGGGAAAUUUGGGGAAGAGGGAUGCUGGACCUAGGGGUAGGGUGGUCUGUCUGGAUGCAUCAUGGCGGAGUCCAAAGAGGCGGAGGGACCUGGGCUGGCGAGGCGUUGAACACGUGGAGGGGGAGGACGAGUUCUUGAAUUCUAAGCGCUAUGGGUUGUUGAGGAAUUCAUUGAUGGAUGUUUGUAGUUUUGAUGAUUUGAAGCAAAGGAUGAGUGUUUAUUUGAGCUUGGCUAGUUGCAAGGAGAUUUUUGAUGCCAUGAGUCACGUGGUUAAGAAUAUUGAUGAAGGAAGGUUGAAUAUGAAGUCACAUUGCCCUAUUGUAACUGAUGUUGGAAUGAAAGAGAAGGGCAUGCGAAUUCUUAUGUGCUACAAUCCAAUUUGGCUUCGAAUUGGAUUGCAUAUUAUUUUUGGCUGUGAUUCAUUGUUGCCCAAUGGAGAUGUCAAUUCUGGUCAAGAAAUUGCGUUCUUGAAGAUGGUAAUUGAGAAGCAGCUUUUCUCACAUGCUGGACUAGCGAAAGCUUAUGCUUAUAACAAGAUGGUUGAAGGGUUAUACAGACCAGGUUACUAUGAAAUUUUGGGUAAUGUAAUAUUAAAGAGGUUUUUGCUGCUGGUUCUUAUACUUGAUAGAGCCAAAUCUCAUAGUGCUCUUUCUCUAAAGUAUGGAAUUGAUGGAGUUGAUGGGGGUUCUCCGCUUUUAUUCACGGUGCAAUCUAGUAUCAAGUCUAGUCGUCAAAUGAUUAAUGAUUUUUUAUCAUCGGAGAUAAUGCUCGGAGAAGGUAACCUUCUUGCUCAUCUGGUGAUCCUAGGUUACAAAGUGUCUUAUCAGCAGUAUGCUCUGGUCGAGUACGACUUUAGAGUGAUGGAUAUAUUUGUGGACCUACAAGAUGGAGUGCGGCUUUGCAGAGCCAUUCAGCUAUUGCAAAAUGACUCAUCUAUUCUUAUGAAAAUGGUAGUUCCAUCAGAUACAUGCAAGAAAAAUUUGAUAAAUUGUGGCAUUGCACUGCAAUAUCUAAAAGGUGCUGGUGUAACAUUGUGCGAUGAAGAUGGAGUAAUGAUUAUGGAAGGUGAUGUGGCUAAUGGUGACAAAGAACUAACCAUUAGCUUGCUUUGGAAUAUGUUUGUUCACCUGCAGCUGCCACUUCUGAUCAACAACACAAUCUUAGCUGAGGAAAUUUUGAAAAUUCAACGAACCAAUGUGGACCUUUCAAACAGUAUUAAUCUUAGCUCCUUUACCUUGGACUUGCUUUUGAAGUGGAUCCAGGCAGUCUGUGAACAGUAUGAUUAUAUGGUCGAUAAUUUUUCUUCUUUGCUUGAUGGAAAAGCCAUAUGGUGCUUACUUGACUACUACUUCCGCAAAGAACUUUGUUGUUCUCAUUCUCCUAAGGAAUCUCAUGACAGUAGAAGUGGAGAAUCCAUUAUGUCAGCUAAUAAUUAUACAGAUGCAGUCCACAAUUUCAUAUUAUCACAGAAGUUGAUAACCUUGUUGGGGAAUUUUCCAGAGAUUCUGCAGAUCAGUGACAUACUUGAACAUAGUGGUGCAAUUAGUGAAGGGAGUGUGGUUGUUCUAUUGGUCUUUCUCGCAUCGCAGCUGACUGCAAAUAAAGCCAUGGAUCAGCUGAAUUUUCAUAAACUGUUGUGUUGCAAAUGCCAAAGUCCAGAGAGGAGACAUUCAAGUACUGAAAACCGUGUUGUGAGUUUGAAAGCAGUGCUGGAGCAAGAAGAAAUUGAUUGUCACAGUGGUGGAGGUUAUUAUUUUUUAUUUAGCAAUAGAAGUCUUUUCAGCUUGUUAUUUUCUUAUUUUGACAUCUUGUUUCUUUUCCCUUGCACCACCAAGAGCAUUUCAAGUGCAUGGGUUAAAUUGUGGAAAGUAAUGAUUUAACUAAAAAGUGCUGAAGGCUAGGAUGUAUCCUGUAUUUCCUUCUCUGGAUCUGAAUUUGACAGGGUGAUUUGAGGUUGUGAAUUAUCACAAUUUAUAGAAAUUGGUUUAUGCAUGUGGAUCUUACAGGGUCAUUAUUAUCCACUUUCUGUGUUAGAAAGCAUAAAAUUCUUGUAGUGUUUAAUAACUUUUUUUUUUUGGUAUUAUUCUUGAUGCACAGAAGGAAAACAUGCUUCACACAAGGGAAAUGAUUACAUUUUCCCCAAAGAGAGAAAAAAAAUAAUAGAUAAUAAAUAGAUUAUCAAAUGCUACCAUUCUGCAUUUGCAGAUCUAGGUAAUAAACCAAAAACCAUAGUCCUAAUGAUUGUUGUUUUAUAUAAUUUUUUUCCUGCUUUUGUUUUCCUUUUAUUACAGAUGCUGCUAGAAAGUUUAAGGCCAUUAAGGCCUGGUGGCAAGAUAUGGCUGAGAGGAAUAACAUAUUUAUUAUAAAGCCAGCAACUUCUACUUUGCAGCACAGCUCGACUAGCAAAUCCAGCGCCAAUAUUCAAAGAGAAAAUGCAGCAACACUCAUACAGUCACACUUGAGGAAAUCAAUUGCACGCCACAAUUUUUUGAAGACAGUCAAUUCAGUUUUACUUUUGCAAUCUGUCAUUCGGGCUUGGUUAAUGGUGAAGAAAAAAUCUGCACUCUAUGAAUUCAGUAUUAUCAUGGUUCAGGGGUCUAUACAUGAAAAGUGGAAACGGUCCGAACAAGUUGGGAGAUAUGUCAAGUUUAUUGUUGAUAGGCACAGGUUUGUCAGGUUAAAAAAAUCAGUUCUGUUUAUCCAGCAAGCUGCAAGGAUUUGGAAGAUGCGAAGACUUCAGGCUGGAAGCAUUAGAAAUUAUGAUGUAUCCACUACAAAUUUAGUUAAUGCUGCCAUAGUUGUUCAGAAAUAUGUUCGUGGUUGGAUAGCAAGGUCUAGGCGUAAGGUCCUGCAGAUAAAGAUAGCUUCACAAGUGUGCAAAGUGAACUCUCUCCACAGUCACAACCUAGCUGCAGCUAAAAUCCAGAGUCAACUUCGAGGUUGGCUGUUUAGAAGGAACUUUUUGAAACAGAAGCAAAUGGUAACAAGAAUUCAAAGCAAUUUUCGACGCCUGAGAUUUUGGAGGUCCUUUCAACAACUCAGAAUUGCUAAAAGGUCUAUCAUCACCAUUCAGUCUCAUGUACGUGGAUGGAUUGCACGGAGAGUAGCUUGGAGGCACAGGUACCUCGUUGGUGUCCUUCAAAGAUGUUGCCGUGGUUGGCUAAUAAGGAGGAAGUUUUUGCUCCAAAAAGAUGCGGUAGUAAUGAUCCAAAGUGCUGUUCGAUGCUCAAACUGCUUGAAGGCAUUUCAUUGCAGAAAAAAUGCAGCUAUUGAAAUUCAACGGUUUGUCAGGGGGCAGAUCACUCGAAAACGGCUCUUAGUUGGCUGUGUGCAGAGUUGUGAAUCGGACAUAAUGAUAUCUUCAAUAUUGAAGCUGCAAAGGUGGUGGAGAAGUGUUUUGUUGCUUAAACUAAAAACAAAGUCAGCAAUUAUUAUACAGUCUUGUCUUCGAGGUUGGAUUGGCAGGCAAAAGGCCUCUAAAGAAAGGCAGUCUGUUGUGAUGAUUCAAUCGCACUGGAAAGGUUACCUAUUGCGCAAAGAGUCUAGAGGGCAGCUAUUGGAUUUGCGCUUGAGAGUACAAAGGUCAGCUAAAAAUGUCAAUGACAGUAUGCGCAUUAUUAACAGACUCAAAAUGGCACUUUCGGAACUACUGAGUAUGAAAAGCAUUAGUGGAAUCCUUCAUACCUGUGCAACCUUGGAUAUGACUACACAACAUUCUCAGAAAUGUUGCGAGGAACUUGUGGCUGCGGGCGCAAUUGGCAUUUUACUGAAGCUAAUUCGUUCAGUCAGCCGAAGUAUACCUGAUCAGGAGGUUUUAAAGCAUGCACUCUCAACUCUCCGGAACCUUACCCGUUAUCAACAUUUGACUGAUGUGCUAAUUGAAAGCCAUGGAUCGAUAGAAAUAAUUUUCUGGGAAUUUCUUAGGAACAAGGAGGAAGGUUAUUUUAUCGCUUCAGAGAUUCUGAGAAAGAUCUGUUCAAAUCACAAAGGUGCUGAAUCCUUGAGGAAGCGACCUGCCCUCUUGAAAAGGUUACAUAGUCUUGUGGAAGAACUCACAAGGAAGUCAACUAUUGAUAAAAGGAAACCCCUUGGUGCGGCUGCAAGAGAGAAAGCAGAAAGAAGAUUGAGAGAGGCCCUUGAUCUCCUGAAAUUGAUUACUAAUAUGCCAAGUGUGAAAGUAUGAGUAUGAAUGAAUAUGUUUUUAUGGUGUCAGAUAGCUACAUUGCACUCUAAAUAGCAUGGACAAUUCAGCUUAUAAUGUUACUGUCAGUGUUCUUUUGUUUACGGUGUAGUUGAAAAAGGGCGUAUUGGGGGCUUAUCUAGAGCCCUGAGCCAAAUGGUGUACAGAAUGCCUCGGGACGAUAUUGGAUUGCCU